RNAcentral lists this ribosomal RNA (496 nucleotides) under uncultured bacterium. RNAcentral describes it as "partial 16S ribosomal RNA". It matches the Rfam family "Bacterial small subunit ribosomal RNA", at positions 30 to 523 of the family's 1533-position model. The record is from RNAcentral.
AUUGAACGCUGGCGGAAUGCUUUACACAUGCAAGUCGAACGGUAGAGGGGGCAACCUCUCGAGAGUGGCGAACGGGUGAGUAAUAUAUCGGAACGUGCCUAGUCGUGGGGGAUAACGUAGCGAAAGUUACGCUAAUACCGCAUACGAUCUACGGAUGAAAGCGGGGGAUCGCAAGACCUCGCGCGAUUGGAGCGGCCGAUAUCAGAUUAGGUAGUUGGUGGGGUAAAGGCUCACCAAGCCAACGAUCUGUAGCUGGUCUGAGAGGACGACCAGCCACACUGGAACUGAGACACGGUCCAGACUCCUACGGGAGGCAGCAGUGGGGAAUUUUGGACAAUGGACGCAAGUCUGAUCCAGCCAUUCCGCGUGCAGGAUGAAGGCCCUCGGGUUGUAAACUGCUUUUGUACGGAACGAAAAGGUUUCCAUUAAUACUGGGAGCUCAUGACGGUACCGUAAGAAUAAGCACCGGCUAACUACGUGCCAGCAGCCGCAGUAA